This 253-nucleotide ribosomal RNA is filed under the name uncultured bacterium. RNAcentral's name for it is "partial 16S ribosomal RNA". It matches the Rfam family "Bacterial small subunit ribosomal RNA", at positions 524 to 776 of the family's 1533-position model. The record is from RNAcentral.
UACGUAGGGGGCAAGCGUUAUCCGGAUUUACUGGGUGUAAAGGGAGCGCAGGCGGCUUUAUAAGUCAGAAGUGAAAUCCAUGGGCUUAACCCAUGAACUGCUUUUGAAACUGUAGAGCUUGAGUGGAGUAGAGGUAGGCGGAAUUCCCGGUGUAGCGGUGAAAUGCGUAGAGAUCGGGAGGAACACCAGUGGCGAAGGCGGCCUACUGGGCUUUAACUGACGCUGAGGCACGAAAGCGUGGGUAGCAAACAGG